Long non-coding RNA from Patella vulgata (common limpet), 191 nucleotides. RefSeq lists it as uncharacterized. NCBI's taxonomy places the organism in Eukaryota, Metazoa, Mollusca, Gastropoda, Patellidae. The transcript is spliced from 3 exons. The record is from RefSeq and is a predicted model, not a curated record.
GAUAUAAUAUGGAUAUUCUACAGGUUUUACAAUCGUCUUUAAAUUUCAGUGUACAGAUGACUGAACCAAAAGACGGAGAAUGGGGAAGAAAUGUAAAUGGGUCAUGGACUGGUGCAGUUGGACAACUUGUCAGACGGGAAGCUGAUCUGUUUAUCGGACCAAUGUCAGUUACACCUGGACGGGAACGGGUU